RNAcentral lists this long non-coding RNA (209 nucleotides) under Elaeis guineensis (African oil palm). Its description in RNAcentral is "long non-coding RNA (EGUI_LNC054430)". Lineage: Eukaryota; Viridiplantae; Streptophyta; Magnoliopsida; Arecales; Arecaceae. The record is from RNAcentral.
AUGUGCAACCCCACUACUUUCUCUCUCUAAAAGUUUUAUUUUCUCUCUCUAUGAAUUUUCUCUCUCUAUAAUAUUUUUUCUCUCUAAAAUUAUUUUUCUUUAUGAAAUUAUCUCUUUAAGAUUGAUCAAGUUAAGAGCCUUCUUUCAAUGGUUCAGAUUUGAUCUUAGCAAAAAGAGUCUGGAUCCAUGAUUGUUGGACAACGUGCUGG